CAGUAGCCGCGGUAAUACGAACCGUGCGAACGUUAUUCGGAAUCACUGGGCUUAAAGCGCGUGUAGGCGGGCCGUCACGUCGGCUGCUGAAAUCCCCCGGCUCAACCGGGGAAGUGCCACCGAUACGAGCGGCCUUGAGGGGGGUAGGGGGGUCUGGAACUUCCGGUGGAGCGGUGAAAUGCGUUGAGAUCGGAAGGAACGCCCGUGGCGAAAGCGAGGCCCUGGACCCUUUCUGACGCUGAGACGCGAAAACCAGGGGAGCGAACGGGAUUAGAUACCCGCGUAGUCCCUGUCUCUUAUA
Molecule: ribosomal RNA, 301 nt
Filed under: uncultured bacterium
Lineage: Bacteria
Description: partial 16S ribosomal RNA
Rfam family: Bacterial small subunit ribosomal RNA
Source: RNAcentral